CCUGUCAACAAUAGCCACUGGCAUUUUCAUCCCAUCCAAAUAAUAUCAUAAAAGAAAGCCAAAACGAAAACAAAUUAAAAGGGAAGAAGAAGUAGCAAAUCAACCCAUCGCCCCCGCAGCCAUGGCAACUUCAUCUUCACUGUUUCACUCUUCGCUCGCGUCCUCUCUAACUCACAACAAACACAAACAAUUCCAUCGCAACUCUAAACUCUCCUCCACCACCACCACCACAACCCGUCGUAUCGUUACCCCAAUAUCAUGCACCUCCUCCACACUCGAUCCCUCCGCUUCCUCUAACAACACGCCACCUGUCACCACCAAGCACCGCCGUCCCGCCGAAGAAAACAUUCGCGACGAGGCACGCCGUCACCGCUCUUCAUCCUCCGCCGUUAACACCUUUUCCGCUAAGUACAUCCCGUUCAACGCGCCACCUGACUCGCGUGAAUAUUACUCGCUUGAUGAGAUCGUAUACAGAAGUCGUUCUGGCGGUUUACUGGACGUGCAGCACGACAUGGAAGCAUUAAAAAAAUUCGACGGCGGGUAUUGGCGUGACUUAUUCGAUUCGCGCGUGGGGAAAACCACGUGGCCUUACGGGUCAGGUGUUUGGUCUAAAAAGGAAUGGGUCUUGCCCGAAAUCGAUCCUGAUGAUAUAGUGUCCGCUUUUGAGGGAAACUCUAAUUUAUUUUGGGCUGAGAGAUUUGGCAAACAGUUUCUAGGCAUGAAUGAUUUAUGGGUUAAACAUUGUGGCAUUAGCCAUACAGGCAGUUUUAAAGAUUUAGGUAUGACUGUUUUGGUUAGUCAAGUUAAUCGUUUGCGUAAGAUGAAAAAACCGGUGGUCGGCGUUGGUUGCGCCUCCACUGGAGAUACAUCAGCUGCAUUGUCGGCUUAUUGUGCGUCGGCUGGGAUUCCAUCGAUUGUGUUUUUGCCAGCGAAUAAAAUCUCAAUUGCGCAAUUAGUGCAACCAAUUGCGAAUGGAGCAUUUGUGUUGAGUAUAGACACUGAUUUUGAUGGGUGUAUGAAAUUGAUUCGCGAAGUUACUGCUGAAUUGCCCAUUUAUUUAGCGAAUUCGUUGAAUAGUUUGAGGUUAGAAGGGCAAAAAACUGCCGCAAUUGAGAUAUUGCAGCAGUUUGAUUGGGAAGUACCGGAUUGGGUUAUAGUUCCAGGUGGCAAUUUAGGGAAUAUAUAUGCUUUUUAUAAAGGGUUUAAGAUGUGUCAUGAACUAGGGCUUGUUGAUAGAAUACCUAGAUUAGUUUGUGCUCAAGCUGCUAAUGCUAAUCCGCUUUAUUUAUAUUACAAGUCAGGAUGGAAAGAUUUUAAGCCUGUGAAAGCGAAUUCAACAUUUGCUUCAGCUAUACAGAUUGGAGACCCGGUUUCUAUAGAUAGAGCUGUAUAUGCUUUAAAGAAAUGCAACGGAAUUGUCGAGGAAGCCACAGAAGAGGAGUUGAUGGAUGCAAUGGCGCAAGCCGAUUCUACUGGGAUGUUUAUAUGCCCUCAUACUGGAGUUGCGUUGACAGCUUUGAUUAAGCUUAGGAAUAGUGGGAUUAUAGGGCCUAUGGACAGGACAGUUGUGGUCAGUACAGCUCAUGGGUUGAAAUUUACACAGUCUAAGAUUGAUUACCACUCCAAAGCAAUACCAGAUAUGGCUUGCAAGUAUGCUAACCCACCUGUGCAAGUUAAGGCAGAUUUUGGUGCGGUAAUGGAUGUUUUGAAGACGUAUUUGGGUAAUAAGGCUCCCAAGUAAACCACUCUUUUGCCGAUUUUGUAUGCGUAGACAUGUAAUUUUUGGGUAAGGGUAUCAUACUACCCAUUCCCAUUUCCAUUCCUAAGCAGGGCAUAAGAAAGCUGAACCUCUGGACACUCUAGUUUCACUAUGAAUCUUUGAUGUAUGGGGAGCAGCACAAAAACACCUAAGAAUUGACUGGUUAUUAUGAAUCUCUUGUGAAACACCACACCAGUCGAUGUUGUACUGUUGUUGAUGAGGUGAUGUGAUGUGAUUGACCGCAUUUUUAACAGGUUGAAACCCCCCCACUGGUCAAAUACCUCGUUUGCAAAAUUGUUCCAUAGAUUAUUGGAGCUUUUACUAAUAUGCUGUUCAGUAUAUCUGGCAUAAACUGCCUCGACUUGCAUAUGCAGUUGGUUGUGUGGGGAAUUGUAAGAGCCUUUGUACUUUUGGCAGCAGAUCAUUAUUGGUCGUAAUUUUUAUUUUUCUAAAUGGCUAUAGUUACUAUAGUGUUUCAGCCUUCA
RNA transcript from Ricinus communis (castor bean), 2244 nucleotides. It is a transcript of the gene named threonine synthase 1, chloroplastic, with no coding region annotated. The transcript has 3 exons. NCBI's taxonomy places the organism in Eukaryota, Viridiplantae, Streptophyta, Magnoliopsida, Malpighiales, Euphorbiaceae. The record is from RefSeq and is a predicted model, not a curated record.